This 523-nucleotide ribosomal RNA is filed under the name Salmonella enterica subsp. enterica serovar Indiana. RNAcentral describes it as "partial 23S ribosomal RNA". It matches the Rfam family "Bacterial large subunit ribosomal RNA", at positions 1213 to 1735 of the family's 2925-position model. Lineage: Bacteria; Pseudomonadati; Pseudomonadota; Gammaproteobacteria; Enterobacterales; Enterobacteriaceae. The record is from RNAcentral.
ACUGUGUGUUGUUGGGUAGGGGAGCGUUCUGUAAGCCUGCGAAGGUGGCCUGUGAGGGUUGCUGGAGGUAUCAGAAGUGCGAAUGCUGACAUAAGUAACGAUAAAGCGGGUGAAAAGCCCGCUCGCCGGAAGACCAAGGGUUCCUGUCCAACGUUAAUCGGGGCAGGGUGAGUCGACCCCUAAGGCGAGGCCGAAAGGCGUAGUCGAUGGGAAACGGGUUAAUAUUCCCGUACUUGGUGUUACUGCGAAGGGGGGACGGAGAAGGCUAUGUUGGCCGGGCGACGGUUGUCCCGGUUUAAGCGUGUAGGUGUGUGUUCCAGGUAAAUCCGGUUCACUUUAACACUGAGGCGUGACGACGAGGCACUACGGUGCUGAAGCAACAAAUGCCCUGCUUCCAGGAAAAGCCUCUAAGCAUCAGGUAACAUCAAAUCGUACCCCAAACCGACACAGGUGGUCAGGUAGAGAAUACCAAGGCGCUUGAGAGAACUCGGGUGAAGGAACUAGGCAAAAUGGUGCCGUAACU